AAUAUUACUGUUUGGAGCUGUCCUAGUCAAACAUUACACUAAAUUAUUGGCAUUGAUAUUAGUUUUCAUUUCAUCAUGUGAUUUACAGCUAAAAGCAAUACUGGUGUUGUAUUGCACUUUGGGUGCCAAUUAUUUUUAUAUGGAUUAUACAAUAUUUACAAUAAUAUUUACAAUGAAAUUUCUUGUCUUUUGUUUUAGAGGUGUGCCUUUUUUGGUUAGGUCUCGACUCACCUGCUUUAAAUCUACUGUGCCUUUUUAGUUCUAUUUCAUGGAUGCCCAGAUCAGGAUAUACUAUAUUCUCAACUUUAGUUGGAGGUAUAUGUGGCGCAUUUUGUCGAAUGGGAGAGGUCAGUGGUUCUUUUUUAUUUUUAAUCUCGAUGAUAUUAACUAUAUACAGUUUCCACUUCAUUUAUUAUACAACUUGAUGGUAUUCUUCACUUGUGAUUGUGAAUCUUCUAAUUCUUUACUGUGUUAUUGAAAUCAGUUUAUGUGGAUUCCUCUGUAUUGCUUAUUUCUCUCACAUUGCCAUAUGUGAAUGUUCUGGGAAAUGGAUAUGUUCCUUGUUCCGUAUCUAGCUGAUUGUGACUUGGAGUUAGUUCAGUGGCCUCCAUUUUUGCUUGCUUGCAAGGUUUUCAUUAUAUUUUUUAAGUCAUAACUCUUCCUUUUGUUAAAGGGAGAUUUUGGUUAAUUCCAUUUAAUCCCUAUGUUAACCAUCAAAUCAAAGCAAAUUCACCUUUUCUUUGCCUACCUUUGGCCUCACAAAUGUUUGAAGACAUGGUUUAUGGCUUUGAAUUGGUGGUUAACAGAGGGAUUAAAGGAAGUUGAUAAAAAAAAAAAAAAAAAUGCUAGAAUAUAACUGAAUCACCGGCAAUUUGGUUAUCUUGAACUAUGAAUUAAUCUCAUUCAUUCUUGCUUCAUUUUUUUUUUCUCUCUUGUUUGCAUCACUCCUUGUGGGUUAUGUUGUGUAAUUAGGGGUGUUGAGGUAUACUUAUUUUUUGGUCGUGUUUUAUUUGACUUAACAAGCUUGAGUGGCUCAUAUUUGUAAUGAUGACUUGUUACUAUAUACGGAACUUAGAAACUGUUCAUCUUUUUAAUUGUUUUAGACAAUGUUUGACUAUCCUUCUUGCAGGUCAAAGUAAAUUUUAGCCUGGUUCGGAGAAAGAAUAAGGGAAAUUAUUCCGAGCUUCAUCUAUGGCCACAUGUAUAAAGUUCAGGAUUAUGUUCUUAUUCGAUUUGACUAUGAUAGUUGAUCCCUUCAAAGCAUCAUGUUAGAAAUUUAUCGAGCAUUUAUGAGAUUUUUGGGUACAAUAAUUUAUUUGAUAAUUUACUAUUGAUUUUUUCCCUUUUUGACAGUUCGUUAAUUUGGUUUAGUUUGUAUUUGUUUUGGUUUUGGAGAUAACCAAGUUUGUAAAUAAUACCUUGGUCUAUAUCUAUCUGGUUGACG
This 1444-nucleotide long non-coding RNA is filed under the name Olea europaea (common olive). Its description in RNAcentral is "long non-coding RNA (OEUR_LNC015375)". The record is from RNAcentral. Lineage: Eukaryota; Viridiplantae; Streptophyta; Magnoliopsida; Lamiales; Oleaceae.